UGCAGCAACGCCGCGUGAGGGACGACGGCCUUCGGGUUGUAAACCUCUUUUAGCAGGGAAGAAGCGAAAGUGACGGUACCUGCAGAAAAAGCACCGGCUAACUACGUGCCAGCAGCCGCGGUAAUACGUAGGGUGCAAGCGUUAUCCGGAAUUAUUGGGCGUAAAGAGCUCGUAGGCGGUUUGUCGCGUCUGCUGUGAAACCCCGAGGCUCAACCUCGGGCCUGCAGUGGGUACGGGCAGACUAGAGUGCGGUAGGGGAGAUUGGAAUUCCUGGUGUAGCGGUGGAAUGCGCAGAUAUCAGGAGGAACACCGAUGGCGAAGGCAGAUCUCUGGGCCGUAACUGACGCUGAGGAGCGAAAGGGUGGGGAGCAAACAGGCUUAUAUACCCUGGUAGUCCACCCCGUAAACGUUGGGAACUAGUUGUGGGGUCCAUUCCACGGAUUCCGUGACGCAGCUGACGCAUUAAGUUCCCCGCCUGGGGAGUACGGCCGCAAGGCUAAAACUCAAAGGAAUUGACGGGGACCCGCACAAGCGGCGGAGCAUGCGGAUUAAUUCGAUGCAACGCGAAGAACCUUACCAAGGCUUGACAUAUACAAGAACGGGCUAGAAAUAGUCAACUCU
This 621-nucleotide ribosomal RNA is filed under the name Microbacterium sp. So2Ps_959. RNAcentral's name for it is "bacterial SSU rRNA". It matches the Rfam family "Bacterial small subunit ribosomal RNA", at positions 387 to 1017 of the family's 1533-position model. Lineage: Bacteria; Bacillati; Actinomycetota; Actinomycetes; Micrococcales; Microbacteriaceae. The record is from RNAcentral.